UAGGGAAUUUUCGUCAAUGGGGGAAGCCCUGAACGAGCAAUGCCGCGUGUGUGAAGAAGGUCUUCUGAUCGUAAAGCACUGUUGUAAGUGAAGAAUGCCAUAUAGAGGAAAUGCUAUGUGGGUGACGGUAGCUUACCAGAAAGCCACGGCUAACUACGUGCCAGCAGCCGCGGUAAUACGUAGGUGGCAAGCGUUAUCCGGAAUCAUGGGCGUAAAGGGUGCGUAGGUGGCACGAUAAGUCUGAAGUAAAAGGCAACAGCUCAACUGUUGUAUGCUUUGGAAACUGUCGAGCUAGAGUGCAGAAGAGGGCGAUGGAAUUCCAUGUGUAGCGGUAAAAUGCGUAGAUAUAUGGAGGAACACCAGUGGCGAAGGCGGUCGCCUGGUCUGUAACUGACACUGAUGCACGAAAGCGUGGGGAGCAAAUAGGAUUAGAUACC
This 437-nucleotide ribosomal RNA is filed under the name uncultured bacterium. Its description in RNAcentral is "bacterial SSU rRNA". It matches the Rfam family "Bacterial small subunit ribosomal RNA", at positions 355 to 786 of the family's 1533-position model. The record is from RNAcentral.